CGUCGAGUGGAGCAGUCCGGUAGCUCGCCAGGCUCAUAACCUGGAGGUCGUCAGUUCAAAUCUGACCUCGGCAACCA
RNAcentral lists this transfer RNA (77 nucleotides) under Methylorubrum populi. RNAcentral describes it as "tRNA-Met". It matches the Rfam family "tRNA". Rfam says of the family: Transfer RNA (tRNA) molecules are approximately 80 nucleotides in length. Their secondary structure includes four short double-helical elements and three loops (D, anti-codon, and T loops). Further hydrogen bonds mediate the characteristic L-shaped molecular structure. tRNAs have two regions of fundamental functional importance: the anti-codon, which is responsible for specific mRNA codon recognition, and the 3' end, to which the tRNAs corresponding amino acid is attached (by aminoacyl-tRNA synthetases). tRNAs cope with the degeneracy of the genetic code in two manners: having more than one tRNA (with a specific anti-codon) for a particular amino acid; and 'wobble' base-pairing, i.e. permitting non-standard base-pairing at the 3rd anti-codon position. The record is from RNAcentral. Lineage: Bacteria; Pseudomonadati; Pseudomonadota; Alphaproteobacteria; Hyphomicrobiales; Methylobacteriaceae.